CCCACUCCACACUCGGUAUUUCUGUGUGUGUGUCUUUAAUUCCUCUAGCACUGCUGGGUUAGGGUCUCCACAAUCGAGCUGGUGUCAGCAUUAGUUAAUAGAUUUCUACUUCUCUAACUUCACUUGGAUAUUAAUAUGUUAAUUAAUAGAUUUCUACUUCUUUAGAUUCACUUUCAUUUUGGUCCUUUGAUUUAGCCAUGUUUUUUGGUUACUUUAAUGUUUUGUGGUUUUCCUGAUAUUUUGAUCAAGUAAGAAACAGCUACCUAUUCUAUUUUUUAUGGAAUGCAUUUUUACAGAUGAAAACUGAUACCCAUCAGGCACUCUAGUCACUCUGGGAAAUUCUUCAAACUGUUGUCAGGAUGUCUUCUCUGGACUACUGUGUGUAUUUUCCUAUUAAAAAGAUUUGCCUUUUUUUCUCUUAAGAGCCUUUCAUCUCCCCCUUUGGUGAGUGUCAUAGUCACUACUUUCUUUCUGUUGUGGAAAUAAGCAUUCAUCUUUGUUCUCAGUUGACCCGACAUGUCAUUUCAACUCUAUCACCAUUUUCUUCAGCACCACAUAUUAAAGGAAGCAAUGAACAACCUUUAGCCCCAGAAUAACCCAGAACUUUGGACAUAUGUUUUAUCCUUUUUUUUUCUUAGCUGAGGGCAAACAGAAUGUGAAAAAUUUCUGUGUAACUGCGCUGUGCUGUGGUGCACAAAUACAACAAAUUUUCUUCCUUCUAAAUGCAACCAUUCUUGGCUCUGUGUUCACCUAGGCACUGAAAACUCAACUGGCUUUAGUCACGCUACUAUAUUUAAGUUCAUAUAUCAGUUGAGAAAACAAAGGGACCUCAAGUUUUUGAUUCAACUAUCAUGGUGUCCUCAAUGUGGUAUAAUUUUGUAUAUUACAUUUAUAAAGUAUUUUCACCUGAAUUUAGUAAUUGGAAUUUUUAAAACUUUUGGUAUCUUUCAGAUAUGUUUUCUCAUGAUACUCAAUAUUGGAUAGAUACGGGAGCUGUGGCCCUCAGAAUUUACACUUAAGGAAAGAGUGGGAAAGUGAGGGGCCUGCUUUGACGAUCCCGCGGGCCGGGAUAUGUGGCGCCUGAACAGGGACCUGGAAACGAGGGACUCCGUGAGGAAGAGGACGCCAAAGGACGGUCGACCGCUAACGAAGACAAAAGAAA
Molecule: non-coding RNA, 1162 nt
Organism: Chlorocebus sabaeus (green monkey)
Lineage: Eukaryota; Metazoa; Chordata; Mammalia; Primates; Cercopithecidae
Source: RefSeq, a predicted model, not a curated record